CCUACGGGGGGCAGCAGUGAGGAAUAUUGGUCAAUGGACGAGAGUCUGAACCAGCCAAGUAGCGUGAAGGAUGACUGCCCUAUGGGUUGUAAACUUCUUUUGUCAAGGGACAAAAUCAGGCUCGAGAGCCUGACCGAGGGUACUUGAAGAAAAAGCAUCGGCUAACUCCGUGCCAGCAGCCGCGGUAAUACGGAGGAUGCGAGCGUUAUCCGGAUUUAUUGGGUUUAAAGGGUGCGUAGGCGGGCUGUUAAGUCAGAGGUAAAAGCCCGGGGCUCAACCCCGGCGAGCCGUUGAAACUGGCUGUCUUGAGAUGUCGAGAGGUAUGCGGAAUGCGCAGUGUAGCGGUGAAAUGCUUAGAUAUUGCGCAGAACUCCGAUUGCGAAGGCAGCAUACCGGCGGCGAUCUGACGCUGAGGCACGAAAGCGUGGGUAUCGAACAGGAUUAGAUACCCGGGUAGUC
This 459-nucleotide ribosomal RNA is filed under the name uncultured bacterium. RNAcentral's name for it is "partial 16S ribosomal RNA". It matches the Rfam family "Bacterial small subunit ribosomal RNA", at positions 338 to 795 of the family's 1533-position model. The record is from RNAcentral.